CCUGCUCCUCCUCUGUCACAACACAAUGUGUGGCAGGGCAGGUCGCGUGCCUAAGCCAGCCGCGGCGCCCUUCCGGCAGCCGCAAUGCCUCGACCGCCCUCCCCUUCUCGCCAGUGGUUUGCCCGACGCCAUUGGACGGACUGGAUUCCGGGUGGGCGACGAGGAAGCGGCUAGCCUCGGCCGUCGGCCACGACCGUGAAGCUCGGGAGAUCGGCUCACCGUGCCGUCGCGGACCGAGACCCGGGGCGACAAAAUGUAGCACCAAACAACGCGAAUCCUGGGGUCGCCGUGCCUGGCGCCAUGGCAGCAAGGAUUACAGAUGGAUGUAUAUAAAGAUUAUAUGAAUGGCGAUUCUUGGAGCAGUGGAUUCAUGCACGAUAUUGAUUGAUACGACAGUGGCUUUAUCUCCGUAGCUGAUCUAAGAAAACACUUUUGCAGUUCAGCUUUUCUUGCCUAGAUUUCAGUCUCUUCAUCAGCUUGUGCUGACAAAGAUAAAAUGGAACCAGGUUUUAUUCAAGAUUGUAGGUCAUGGAUAUAUAUAUAUCUAUGGUGGAUAAAGAAAUAUUUACCUGCACAUCCAUUCUCAAUGUAUGGAUUCCCACUGUAUCCCGCAUUGCACUUGCAGAGAUAGCCCGCUCCAC
Molecule: long non-coding RNA, 641 nt
Organism: Lolium perenne
Lineage: Eukaryota; Viridiplantae; Streptophyta; Magnoliopsida; Poales; Poaceae
Source: RefSeq, a predicted model, not a curated record